GCAGAGUAGGGACCAGCGUGUCAAGCCCGGAAGGGCCAGUGCCGGCGGGACGGGGAGUUGUCCGCUGGACGAAAGGCGCGCGCCGCAGUGCUGGUCCCGCAUCCCGCUGC
RNAcentral lists this non-coding RNA (110 nucleotides) under human gut metagenome. RNAcentral's name for it is "THF riboswitch". It matches the Rfam family "THF (Tetrahydrofolate) riboswitch aptamer". Rfam says of the family: THF riboswitch presents a pseudoknot that joins P1-P2 and the loop of P3 and two THF binding. The record is from RNAcentral.